Molecule: long non-coding RNA, 291 nt
Organism: Prionailurus viverrinus (fishing cat)
Lineage: Eukaryota; Metazoa; Chordata; Mammalia; Carnivora; Felidae
Exons: 3
Source: RefSeq, a predicted model, not a curated record
UUGACCCAUUUUGUGGGUAGAGAGACGGAUACACUUUGAAAGACAGAAACUAUUUUUUUUCCUAGAAGAGGAUUUAUAGGAUGACAAUAAACUCAGAAGAGAUUCCCCCUCACACAUACUCAUAUGAUUUGUUGGGUCAGAAUUCCGUCAGAUUUUAACUGGGUCCUCUACUGAGCGUCUUAUAGACUUGAAGUCAAGGUGUCAGCCAACUGAGCACCCAUGUGGAGUCCUGACUAAGGCAAAUUAGAGUGUGGACUUCCUGGCUAAUUACCCUUAUCCUGACUCCCAGAG